UACGUAGGGUGCGAGCGUUAAUCGGAAUUACUGGGCGUAAAGCGUGCGCAGGCGGUGAUGUAAGACAGUUGUGAAAUCCCCGGGCUCAACCUGGGAACUGCAUCUGUGACUGCAUCGCUGGAGUGCGGCAGAGGGGGAUGGAAUUCCGCGCGUAGCAGUGAAAUGCGUAGAUAUGCGGAGGAACACCGAUGGCGAAGGCAAUCCCCUGGGCCUGCACUGACGCUCAUGCACGAAAGCGUGGGGAGCAAACAGG
Molecule: ribosomal RNA, 253 nt
Filed under: uncultured bacterium
Lineage: Bacteria
Description: partial 16S ribosomal RNA
Rfam family: Bacterial small subunit ribosomal RNA
Source: RNAcentral